Molecule: ribosomal RNA, 559 nt
Filed under: uncultured bacterium
Lineage: Bacteria
Description: bacterial SSU rRNA
Rfam family: Bacterial small subunit ribosomal RNA
Source: RNAcentral
CGAAAGGGAGAGUAACGCGUAGAUAUCUACCUCGAGGCCCGGGAUAGCGGCGGGAAACUGCCGGUAAUACCGGAUAACAUCUCCGGAUCAAAGGUGUGAUUCCGCCUCGAGAUGAGUCUGCGUCCUAUUAAUGCUUGUUGGUGUGGUAACGGCGCACCAAGGCGAAGAUGGGUACCGGGUGUGAGAGCAUGGCCCGGCUCACUGGGACUGAGACACUGCCCAGACACCUACGGGUGGCUGCAGUCGAGAAUCUUCGGCAAUGGGCGAAAGCCUGACCGAGCGACGCCGCGUGCGGGAUGAAGGCCCUCGGGUUGUAAACCGCUGUCAGUAGGGAGCAAAUCUCUUGGGGUUAUCCCCUUGAGUUGAGCGAUCUUCAGAGGAAGUACGGGCUAAGUUCGUGCCAGCAGCCGCGGUAAGACGAACCGUACGAACGUUAUUCGGAAUCACUGGGCUUAAAGAGUCCGUAGGCGGCCGUGUAGGUGGGAUGUGAAAGCCCUCGUCUCAACCGAGGAAUUGCGUUCCAAACCACAUGGCUUGAGGAUGAUAGAGGUGAGCGGAA